This 467-nucleotide ribosomal RNA is filed under the name uncultured bacterium. Its description in RNAcentral is "partial 16S ribosomal RNA". It matches the Rfam family "Bacterial small subunit ribosomal RNA", at positions 28 to 507 of the family's 1533-position model. The record is from RNAcentral.
GACGAACGCUGGCGGCGUGCUUAACACAUGCAAGUCGAACGGAAAGGCCUCUUUCGGGGGGUACUCGAGUGGCGAACGGGUGAGUAACACGUGAGUAACCUGCCCUUGACUUUGGGAUAACUUCAGGAAACUGGGGCUAAUACCGGAUAGGAGCUCCUGCUGCAUGGUGGGGGUUGGAAAGUUUCGGCGGUUGGGGAUGGACUCGCGGCUUAUCAGCUUGUUGGUGGGGUAGUGGCUUACCAAGGCUUUGACGGGUAGCCGGCCUGAGAGGGUGACCGGCCACACUGGGACCGAGAGACGGCCCAGACUCCUACGGGAGGCAGAAGGGGGGAAUAUUGCACAAGGGGUGGAAGCCUGAUGCAGCAACGCCGGGUGCGGGAUGACGGCCUUCGGGUUGUAAACCGCUUUCGCUCAUGACGAAGCUUUGUGUGACGGUAGUGGGUAAAGAAGCACCGGCUAACUACGUG